GUGAGCCGUCAAAGUGUUGUCCAAGCCUGAUCUCCUCAGACCUCAGAAUCAAAGCAGGGCCAGGCUGGUCAGUACUUUGAUGGAAGACUGCUGGGAAUACCACAUGCCGGUGUUA
This 115-nucleotide ribosomal RNA is filed under the name Periophthalmus magnuspinnatus. Lineage: Eukaryota; Metazoa; Chordata; Actinopteri; Gobiiformes; Gobiidae. The record is from RNAcentral.